UUAACCCCCCGUGAUUUUCUAGGGUUUUGUUAAGAAGGCUCAAAUAAUUUCAUUUCUGCGCGCGCUUCCGUUUCUAGGGUUUCUUUCUUUCUGCAUUGUGACGAUCCAUCUGCAGUAUCCUUCUUCAAGCCCAUAUCCUUCAGUAGAUAGUUGAGUAAUGCUGGAGGAAUGGCCUGGAUUUGGAAUUUUGUAGCGUGACCCUUGAGAGCAAAUGUCUGAGCACCUUACUUUAAAUGGUUUUGACUGCUGCCCAUGAGAAGUCCUCAGGAAGUCUGCGAUUAAUGGACUGCAUGCACCACUGCAGUGACAAAAAAACAUUGAAGCGGUGGUUCUUCAUUGACAAAAGAGUUGGGUAGAUAUCCAAGGCCUUAAAAAAUCACAUUGAAAUUUAUUUAAUCUGGGAAGUAAGAAAAUACUAUAUUAUUCGAUUUUUGACUUGACGCUCUAACGGAUACGGAACCAAUGGAUUUAAAAUCAACCCACAAGUCCCCUGUUCUCGCUGAUUCUGUCCCCAUGAACAAGUCAAGACUGGGUUUAUCCUCUAGUUCGGUGCCUUAUUCAGCAUCAACCACAGGAUAUUCUUCUCCUGGCAUGUAUUUAACAACUCCUAGAAGAAAGCCUGCUCCCAGCAAACUUGACGAUGUUCGUGUAAGUGCCUCAUCACCUCCUCAAAAGAAGCUGAACAAGGAAUUCGGCUUUGAGCCUGAAUCAGAAGAAGCAGAGACCUCAUACCAUACCUGGGUGAUGAAGUAUCCAUCUGCGCUAACAUCAUUUGAACAAAUCACAAAUUAUGCGAAGUACAAGAAGAUAGCAUUGUUUCUGGAUUAUGAUGGAACACUUUCUCCUAUUGUGGACAACCCUGACCAUGCUUUUAUGUCCAGUGCGAUGCGGACUGCUGUGAGAAAUGUUGCAAAACAUUUUCCAACGGCUAUUAUCAGUGGAAGAUCACGUGAUAAGGUCUGUGAAUUUGUAGGACUAACAGAACUCCAUUAUGCCGGUAGUCAUGGAAUGGACAUAAUGGUUCCAUUACGAGAAUUGGAAUCCACUACUGACCAUCCAAACUCUAUUAGAUCUACUGACAAGCAGGAGGUAAUUCCAUUCCAGCCUGCAAGUGAAUUUUUGCCAAUGAUCGAUGAGGUUUUUAGAUCCCUUGUCGAGAACACUAACGAUAUUGAAGGUGCAACAGUAGAGAACAACAAGUUUUGUGUCUCCGUACAUUACCGCCUAGUAGAUGAAGAGCUUUGGCCAAUGAUUGCAGAAAUUGUUCAUGAUAUCCUAAAGGGCUACCCAAAGUUGAAACUGACACAUGGUCGGAAGGUUUUAGAGAUCCGGCCUGUGAUUGAUUGGAACAAAGGAAAGGCCGUUGAGUUUUUGCUUGAAUCACUUGGACUGAAUAAUCGCGAUGAUGUGCUCCCUAUAUAUGUUGGAGAUGACAUAACUGAUGAGGAUGCAUUCAAGGUUCUUAGAGAGGGUAAUUGUGGCUAUGGCAUUUUAGUAUCGUCUGUACCAAAAGAAAGUAAUGCCUCCUACUCUCUUAGAGACCCAUCUGAGGUUAAAGGAUUCCUCAAGUCCUUGGUGAAAUGGAAGACAACAGCAGCAGUUUAGGAAUGAUGAUGGCCAUUUAUUGGUGUUGGUUGUUUUGUUGGCCCAAUAAGUUGGCCCAUUCCACUAAAUGCCCAGCUCCCCCACUUGUGCCCUAGCCCCUCUAUUUUCCCUCACCUACCCGAUGGUUCUCACCUCCUCCUAAGUCUUCGCGAUCUCUAGAAGUCUUCGCGAUCUCUGGAUUUGAUGGCCGCCGCUGUGAUUUCAUCCCUAGGUCGGCUCCCUCCUUCGUUUUCUUCCCUAGCUCCUCUCCCUUGUCGGCUGCCCCCAUCCCUAUAUAUGGGUAAUGGGUUGGUAGUAGCUUGGGAGAGGGAUGAAGAGGAAGUAGAGGUGGUGAGGUGAAGAUCUGAGCUUGAACUUCCCUCUGCUGUGUGCGAUCUCCCCCUUUCUGCGACUUUGUGCUCCUGUGAGCUUUGUGCUCUCAACCCCUUUGUGCGAUCCCCUUUGUGAGUGACUGGGGAAGGAGAUCGGCGAGCUCCCAGUUGGUCUUUGGUGGUGCACUAGAGAGGAAAACAGUGACUGACUCAAGCAGGUUUCUGAGCCAAAAACGACAUCUCAGAUUCUCAACAGUGGUAUCAGAGCAAGGUUAGUGUCGCUG
This is an RNA transcript of Asparagus officinalis (garden asparagus), 2200 nucleotides long. It is a transcript of the gene named probable trehalose-phosphate phosphatase F, with no coding region annotated. The transcript has 13 exons. The record is from RefSeq and is a predicted model, not a curated record. Lineage: Eukaryota; Viridiplantae; Streptophyta; Magnoliopsida; Asparagales; Asparagaceae.